This is an unclassified non-coding RNA of Megachile rotundata (alfalfa leafcutting bee), 1441 nucleotides long. NCBI's taxonomy places the organism in Eukaryota, Metazoa, Arthropoda, Insecta, Hymenoptera, Megachilidae. The record is from RefSeq and is a predicted model, not a curated record.
AUAUUUAUCACAACAUAAGAAAUGCAACGAUUAUUUCGAAAUAUGAUUAUCAACAAUACGAGAAUACAAAUUGUUCAUAAUAAGAACGAAAUACUUAUAUGAGUACUGAUAAAUUAAAAUAUGUAAAAUAUUGUUCAUAUCUAUAUACUUAUAAUUAAAAGAAUGUAUACAGAAUUCUUUUUCAUGUUAAUUAAUGAAACUACUUGGUUCCAUGCCAUCACAUUAGGGUAGUUCAUCUAAGGGGUGUUUUAAGACUUCAUGCGGCGAAAUUAAAAAAUUCUGGCAAAUCUUAUUUUUCCUGAUUUCUUUUCUGCAGAAAAAAUGACAGCCAAAAUAUUGCUUUUUCUUUUCAGAAUCCACAAAUUUUUGCUAUCCUUAUUUCUUUUGUACAAAACAAUCCUAAAGAAACAAGGAUCGCCGUAGUUUUCCAGUUUUGCCGUAUGAGGUCCUCAGUUCGCCCCACUACACCCUUGGAAUAGUUAUUAGAAAUAAACACAAGUUGUAUAUGUCAUUCGUGUUAAAUGUUUAUGAAAUGAGAAUAAUGUUUAAAUAAUGUGAUGAAGUAUCACUUAUGGAUACUUACUCUGCUACAUCUCGGAUGUCCUUUUGGAAAGUCACAGAGUCAAUCACAUAGACAAGUCCUUUUGCAGAUAAUUUAAACUGAUCAAAAUAUUUGUAGCGCAAACGUUCAUGACCAGGUAUAUCAACAAUCUUCAGGAAGCGCUGAAUAUUUAACCAAAUUUAAUGGCCUAUGCUUUUGACGUGUGUGUUUUAACAAAUUUAGAACACAGUAGGCGUGCAUAUAUCAGUGUUUUACCAGCAUCACUGAGACCAGUUAAUAGUAUACUGUUUCCCACGGAUCUUUUCUUGCGCCAUAUGGCAAACAAAACUGAAGAAAGAAAUAAAAUGACAAUUUAUAAACAGCAUAGCAAUGCCUACAUAUAAAUCAUUAGUACCAAAAAGAUUGCACUGCAGAGUUGAAUGUAUGGGUACUGGAAUUGUGGCUUGAACAAACUUUCAUACAAGAAUGCAUCUAUUUUUGUAUUACAUAUAUAAUCAUAAUAUUAUGUUUGUUUCAUUCUUAGUAACAAUUUGUAUAUUGUUUCAUAAUUACUGCAGAUAUUAUGACAUAAAUUUAUUUUAAAUAAACAACACAAUGUUUAUAGGAGUUUACAAAUGGUACUGAGACUGUGUAUGAGAUUCAUAGACAUUAAAAUGACAAACAAUAUUUUCAAAAAUCUGUAUAAGUAUAUAAGAUGUAUAAAUAUGUAAGAAUGUCUUUAAUUGUCCAAAUGAUGUCUAUAAAUCUCAAGUUGUAUAUACAAUUAAAUGUGUAAUUUAUUGGUAAUGUUAGCUAAACAUAUUUUUAGUUUUGCUAAGUACAAAAAGGAACUGUGAUGUUAUUUUGAAUAAUGUGAUAAUAAAUAAGCAGAAAAUACAA